Molecule: ribosomal RNA, 403 nt
Filed under: uncultured bacterium
Lineage: Bacteria
Description: bacterial SSU rRNA
Rfam family: Bacterial small subunit ribosomal RNA
Source: RNAcentral
UGGGGAAUAUUGGACAAUGGGCGCAAGCCUGAUCCAGCCAUGCCGCGUGAGUGAUGAAGGCCUUAGGGUUGUAAAGCUCUUUCACCCACGACGAUGAUGACGGUAGUGGGAGAAGAAGCCCCGGCUAACUUCGUGCCAGCAGCCGCGGUAAUACGAAGGGGGCUAGCGUUGUUCGGAAUUACUGGGCGUAAAGCGCACGCAGGCGGUUCGGUCAGUCAGAAGUGAAAGCCCCGGGCUUAACCUGGGAACUGCUUUUGAUACUGCCGAGCUUGAAUCACGGAGAGGGUAGUGGAAUUCCGAGUGUAGAGGUGAAAUUCGUAGAUAUUCGGAAGAACACCAGUGGCGAAGGCGACUACCUGGCCGUCGAUUGACGCUCAUGUGCGAAAGCGUGGGGAGCAAACAG